This 310-nucleotide ribosomal RNA is filed under the name uncultured eukaryote. Its description in RNAcentral is "partial 18S ribosomal RNA". It matches the Rfam family "Eukaryotic small subunit ribosomal RNA", at positions 1470 to 1796 of the family's 1831-position model. The record is from RNAcentral.
CCCUUAGAUGUUCUGGGCUGCACGCGUGCUACACUGAUUAUUUCAACAAGUGUUUUAACUGGAGAGUUCGCGUAAUCCUGAAAUGUUAUCGUGAUGGGAGUAGAGUAUUGUAUUUGUUAAUCUUUAACGAGGAAUUCCUAGUAAGUGUAGGUUUAUAAGUUGUUCUGAUUACGUCCCUGCCCUUUGUACACACCGCCCGUCACUCCUACCGAUUGAUUGAUCCAGUGAAUUACAUAGAAUUUUGCGUUUUACAUGACGGAAGACGAAGUGUUUUAAACCUUAUCAUUUAGAGGAAGGAGAAGUCGUAACA